GUUCGGGGAGCCGGGCGCCUUCGGCAGGACGUACCGGGGACAGUGGGCCCCCACAGCCCUCUUGGACUCUACGUGCAGUUAGGCGGUGGAGGGAACAAAAGAUACUUCUUGUCUGAAAAAUGCUGUGAGAGCAUUAAGGUUGGACAUAAGGAUCAGCCUUCCGGCUUGGAGGACUGGGUGCAAGGUGGGUGUGACAAAGAAAAGGAGCUCAAAACUGCCUCCUGUUCCAGCCUAACCAGACCACUGAAAAUUGCAUCACAAAAUGUAUGGUGACACAAAACUUCCACAUGGAGGGCCUGAGGGUUUGUGACAUCUGGACUGAUAAAAGUGAUGAUGUGGAAACACUAAUACCGAAGCAUGUGCAAGGUCAACUUGAGAAGUUGGUCCCAGCUCUGCCGCCUCUUCAAAAGUUAUCCUGUCCUGUCAGAUACAAAAGGCGCGAGGAAGCCCCACUCCCCUGGGACUGCCGUGGUAGCAGGAGUGCUGGAGAUGAAGAGAUCACAGAGAGGGCAAAGUGAAGCUUCUGGACCUCGCCUGCCCUUGUAACCAGGGCCUUCUCCCUCCACUGCCAACCCCAGAGUGAUGAAGUCUGCAAGUUUCCCCAGGCCUCAUAGGUACAAAUGAGGUUGUAUUCGUGACCUUACUUCUCAGUUUCUUCCCCACAUCCACCCCUGCAAAGUGCCUGUGUCCAUGAGAAUUUCUGGGAGUUCCCC
Molecule: long non-coding RNA, 713 nt
Filed under: Lynx canadensis (Canada lynx)
Lineage: Eukaryota; Metazoa; Chordata; Mammalia; Carnivora; Felidae
Description: lncRNA (ENSLCNG00005012607.1)
Source: RNAcentral